RNAcentral lists this ribosomal RNA (259 nucleotides) under Neonectria candida. RNAcentral describes it as "partial 28S ribosomal RNA". It matches the Rfam family "Eukaryotic large subunit ribosomal RNA", at positions 1 to 261 of the family's 3401-position model. The record is from RNAcentral. Lineage: Eukaryota; Fungi; Ascomycota; Sordariomycetes; Hypocreales; Nectriaceae.
GUUGACCUCGGAUCAGGUAGGAAUACCCGCUGAACUUAAGCAUAUCAAUAAGCGGAGGAAAAGAAACCAACAGGGAUUGCCCUAGUAACGGCGAGUGAAGCGGCAACAGCUCAAAUUUGAAAUCUGGCCCCCGGGUCCGAGUUGUAAUUUGUAGAGGAUGCUUUUGGUGCGGUACCUUCCGAGUUCCCUGGAACGGGACGCCAUAGAGGGUGAGAGCCCCGUCUGGUUGGACGCCAAUCCUUUGUAAAGCUCCUUCAAC